GAUGAACGCUGGCGGCGUGCCUAAUACAUGCAAGUCGAGCGAACAGACGAGGAGCUUGCUCCUCUGACGUUAGCGGCGGACGGGUGAGUAACACGUGGAUAACCUACCUAUAAGACUGGGAUAACUUCGGGAAACCGGAGCUAAUACCGGAUAACAUGUUGAACCGCAUGGUUCAACAGUGAAAGACGGUUUUGCUGUCACUUAUAGAUGGAUCCGCGUCGCAUUAGCUAGUUGGUAAGGUAACGGCUUACCAAGGCAACGAUGCGUAGCCGACCUGAGAGGGGGAUCGGCCACACUGGAACUGAGACACGGUCCAGACUCCUACGGGAGGCAGCAGUAGGGAAUCUUCCGCAAUGGGCGAAAGCCUGACGGAGCAACGCCGCGUGAGUGAAGAAGGUCUUCGGAUCGUAAAACUCUGUUAUUAGGGAAGAACAAAUGUGUAAGUAACUAUGCACGUCUUGACGGUACCUAAUCAGAAAGCCACGGCUAACUACGUG
RNAcentral lists this ribosomal RNA (497 nucleotides) under uncultured bacterium. Its description in RNAcentral is "partial 16S ribosomal RNA". It matches the Rfam family "Bacterial small subunit ribosomal RNA", at positions 28 to 507 of the family's 1533-position model. The record is from RNAcentral.